CGAGUACGACCCGUUACGACGGGGAAGUGUCUGAUGUCAGGCUUCCAAGAAAAGCCCGAACCACGUUAAUUCAAAUUGGCCCGUACCCUAAACCGACACAGGUGGGAAGGUAGAGUAUACCCAGGGGCGCGAGAUAACUCUCUCUAAGGAACUUGGCAAAAUGGCCUCGUAACUUCGGGAGAAGGGGUGCCACCGAGAGGUGGUCGCAGUGAAGAGUCCCAGGCGACUGUUUACCAAAAACACAGGUCUCCGCUAAGUCGCAAGACGAUGUAUGGGGGCUGACGCCUGCCCAGUGCCGGAAGGUUAAGGAAGUUGGUCAGGUUCUUCGGAAUUAAAGCUAGCGACUGAAGCCCCGGUGAACGGCGGCCGUAACUAUAACGGUCCUAAGGUAGCGAAAUUCCUUGUCGGGUAAGUUCCGACCCGCACGAAAGGCGUAACGAUCUGGGAGCUGUCUCGGAGAGAGGCUCGGCGAAAUAGGAAUGUCUGUGAAGAUGCGGACUACCUGCACCCGGACAGAAAGACCCUAUGAAGCUUUACUGUAGCUUGGUAUUGGGUUCGGGCUUUGAUUGCGCAGGAUAGGUGGGAGACUAUGAGAUAGCUCUUGUGGGAGUUAUGGAGUCACUGGUGAGAUACCACUCUAUCAAGGCUAGAAUUCUAACUUUGACCCGUUAUCCGGGCAGAGAACAGUAUCAGGUGGGCAGUUUGACUGGGGCGGUCGCCUCCUAAAUGGUAACGGAGGCGCGCAAAGGUUCCCUCAGGCUGGUUGGAAAUCAGCCAUUGAGUGUAAAGGCAUAAGGGAGCUUGACUGCGAGACUGACAAGUCGAGCAGGUACGAAAGUAGGCCUUAGUGAUCCGACGGUUCCGCGUGGAAGGGCCGUCGCUCAACGGUUAAAAGUUACUCUAAGGAUAACAGGCUGAUCUCCCCCAAGAGUUCACAUCGACGGGGAGGUUUGGCACCUCGAUGUCGGCUCAUCGCAACCUGGGGCUGUAGUCGGUCCCAAGGGUUGGGCUGUUCGCCCAUUAAAGCGGUACGUGAGCUGGGUUCAGAACGUCGUGAGACAGUUCGGUCCAUAUCCGGUGCAGGCGUAGGAACAUUGAGAGGAGUCUUCCUUAGUACGAGAGGACCGGGAAGAACGCACCGCUGGUGUACCUGUUAUCGUGCCAACGGUAAACGCAGGGUAGCCAAGUGCGGAGAGGAUAACCGCUGAAAGCAUCUAAGUGGGAAGCCCACCUCAAGAUGAGUGUUCCCAUGGCAAAAGCCAGUAAGGUCACGGGUAGACCACCCGUUAAUAGGCGCUAGAUGGAAGUCCAGCAAUGGAUGUAGUCGAGGCGUACUAACAGACCGAGGGCUUG
This 1353-nucleotide ribosomal RNA is filed under the name metagenome. RNAcentral describes it as "bacterial LSU rRNA". It matches the Rfam family "Bacterial large subunit ribosomal RNA", at positions 1564 to 2925 of the family's 2925-position model. The record is from RNAcentral.